UACGAGGGGUGCGAGCGUUAUUCGGAAUUAUUGGGCGUAAAGGGUGUGUAGACGGCUUAUUAAGUCAUUUGUGAAAUUCUUCGGCCUAACCGAAGGAGGUCAAGUGAUACUGAUUCGCUUGAGGGUGGAAGAGAGAAGUGGAAUUCUCGGAGUAGCGGUAAAAUGCGUAGAUCUCGAGAGGAACACCGAUGGCGAAGGCAGCUUCUUGGUCCAUGCCUGACGUUGUGGCACGAAAGCGUGGGGAGCAAACAGGAUUAGAUACCCUGGUAGUCCACGCCGUAAACGAUGAUCACUAGACGUUAGUUCUGUUUUACAGAAUUAGUGUCGUAGCUAACGCGUUAAGUGAUCCGCCUGGGGAUUACGGUCGCAAGACUAAA
RNAcentral lists this ribosomal RNA (377 nucleotides) under uncultured bacterium. Its description in RNAcentral is "bacterial SSU rRNA". It matches the Rfam family "Bacterial small subunit ribosomal RNA", at positions 524 to 898 of the family's 1533-position model. The record is from RNAcentral.